RNAcentral lists this transfer RNA (88 nucleotides) under Buchnera aphidicola (Thelaxes californica). It matches the Rfam family "tRNA". Rfam says of the family: Transfer RNA (tRNA) molecules are approximately 80 nucleotides in length. Their secondary structure includes four short double-helical elements and three loops (D, anti-codon, and T loops). The record is from Rfam by way of RNAcentral. Lineage: Bacteria; Pseudomonadati; Pseudomonadota; Gammaproteobacteria; Enterobacterales; Erwiniaceae.
GGUGAGGUGUCUGAGAGGAUGAAAGAGCACGCUUGGAAAGCGUGUAUACGAAAAUAUCGUAUCAAGGGUUCGAAUCCCUUUCUCACCA